GAUUUCCACUGUGGUGUCAGCAACACUUCCUAAAACCCCGAACACAUGGUUCACCCAACCAGUCAACAUCACCUUUAAACACACCAAAGAGUUAGACCCUGAAGGUAGACUCUACUGUGUGUACUGGAUGGAUAAAGAAUGGGUUGAAAUUGGCUGUGCUGUUCUAGAAAGUAAUAGCACUCACACUAUGUGUUCCUGUAAUCACCUGUCAGUGUUUGCUCUCAUCAUGGAGGUUGUUCCAUGUAAGAAACUAUUUGGAGCCACAUUGUCUCUGCACUGUAACCCUCUGCUGGACAUGUCCAUUGCUCAGGGAGUGGGAGUUUUCUUCCUGUCCUUGUGUCUACUGACAUUUGAUUUUUGUUGUCAGAACCCAAAUAAA
Long non-coding RNA from Ictalurus furcatus (blue catfish), 379 nucleotides. RefSeq lists it as uncharacterized. Lineage: Eukaryota; Metazoa; Chordata; Actinopteri; Siluriformes; Ictaluridae. The record is from RefSeq and is a predicted model, not a curated record. The transcript is spliced from 3 exons.